UCUAUGUUAUACCUGUAGUGGGGGGGGUUACAAGAGGAGAGUCAGACAGACGACAAUGCAGCACAUUUAUAGUCAUUUAAGUAACACCUCUUACACUCAGUUUCAUGGCAGCGGACUACAGGUCUGUCAUUUAAGUAACACCUCUCACACUCAGUUUCAUGGCAGUGGACUACAGGUCUGUCAUUUAAGUAACACCUCUCACACUCAGUUUCAUGGCAGUGGACUACAGGUCUGUCAUUUAAGUAACACCUCUCACACUCAGUUUCAUGGCAGCGGACUACAGGUCUGUCAUUUAAGUAACACCUCUCACACUGUUUCAUGGCAGCGGACUACAGGUCUGUCAUUUAAGUAACACCUCUCACACUCAGUUUCAUGGCAGCGGACUACAGGUCUGUCAUUUAAGUAACACCUCUCACACUCAGUUUCAUGGCAGUGGACUACAGGUCUGUCAUUUAAGUAACACCUCUCACACUCAGUUUCAUGGCAGCGGACUACAGGUCUGUCAUUUAAGUAACACCUCUCACACUCAGUUUCAUGGCAGCGGACUACAGGUCUGUCAUUUAAGUAACACCUCUCACACUGUUUCAUGGCAGCGGACUACAGGUCUGUCAUUUAAGUAACACCUCUCACACUCAGUUUCAUGGCAGCGGACUACAGGUCUGUCAUUUAAGUAACACCUCUCACACUCAGUUUCAUGGCAGCGGACUACAGGUCUGUCAUUUAAGUAACACCUCUCACACUCAGUUUCAUGGCAGCGGACUACAGGUCUGUCAUU
Molecule: long non-coding RNA, 775 nt
Organism: Brienomyrus brachyistius
Lineage: Eukaryota; Metazoa; Chordata; Actinopteri; Osteoglossiformes; Mormyridae
Exons: 3
Source: RefSeq, a predicted model, not a curated record